GAUCCUGGCUCAGGAUGAACGCUGGCGGCGUGCUUAACACAUGCAAGUCGAACGGAACUACUUUAAUGAGAUUCUUCGGAAAGGAUUUGAUUUAGUUUAGUGGCGGACGGGUGAGUAACGCGUGGGUAACCUGCCUUGUACAGGGGGAUAACAGUUAGAAAUGACUGCUAAUACCGCAUAAGACCACAGCACCACAUGGUGCAGGGGUAAAAACUGAGGUGGUACAAGAUGGGCCCGCGUCUGAUUAG
Molecule: ribosomal RNA, 248 nt
Filed under: uncultured bacterium
Lineage: Bacteria
Description: partial 16S ribosomal RNA
Rfam family: Bacterial small subunit ribosomal RNA
Source: RNAcentral